UACGGAGGGUGCAAGCAUUAUUCGGAAUUACUAGGUGUAAAGGGCGUGUAGGCGGAAUAAUAAGUUAGAUGUGAAAUCUUGUAGCUCAACUAUAAGCCUGCAUCUAAAACUGUUAAUCUAGAGUAUGGAAGGGGGAAACGGAAUUUCUGGUGUAGCGGUGGAAUGUGUAGAUACCAGAAGGAACACCGAUGGCGAAAGCGGUUUCCUGGUCCAAUACUGACGCUAAGGCGCGAAAGCUAGGGGAGCAAACAGGAUUAGAUACCCUGGUAGUCCUAGCCUUAAACUAUGGUCAUUAGGUGUGGGGAAAAAUCUCCGUGCCAACGCUAACGCAUUAAAUGACCCACCUGGGGAGUACGGUCGCAAGGCUGAA
RNAcentral lists this ribosomal RNA (370 nucleotides) under uncultured bacterium. RNAcentral describes it as "bacterial SSU rRNA". It matches the Rfam family "Bacterial small subunit ribosomal RNA", at positions 524 to 898 of the family's 1533-position model. The record is from RNAcentral.